UCCUUUUGUUAAAAUUUUAAGGUCUAGCCUGCCCACUGAUAUAUUGAAUGGCCGCGGUAUUUUGACCGUGCUAAGGUAGCAUAAUCAUUAGUUUUUUAAUUGAAAGCUGGAAUGAAGGGUUGGAUGAAAAAAAAGCUGUCUCUAUUUAAAUUAAUUAGAAUUUUAUUUUUAAGUUAAAAAGCUUAAAUUUUUUUAAAAGACGAGAAGACCCUAUAGAGUUUUAUAAUUUGAUUAUUUAUAAAUUUUAGUUUAUUUAAUUUUAAUAAAUAACUAAAUUAUUUAAUUGGGGUGAUUAAAAAAUUUAAUUAACUUUUUUUUUAUUAAAAUAUUAAUUUAUAAAUUUUUGAUCCAAUAUUUUUGAUUAUAAGAAAAAAUUACCUUAGGGAUAACAGCGUAAUUUUAUUUUAGAGUUCAAAUUGAAAAUAAAGAUUGCGACCUCGAUGUUGGAUUAAAA
RNAcentral lists this ribosomal RNA (454 nucleotides) under Amphimela sp. BMNH 831668. RNAcentral describes it as "partial 16S ribosomal RNA". The record is from RNAcentral. Lineage: Eukaryota; Metazoa; Arthropoda; Insecta; Coleoptera; Chrysomelidae.